CGUGAGCGCAGGUGAUCGUGUGGCUGCGUGACAGAACAACCUGCUGAUUAAAAACAACAAGCAUGGGCUGUGUCAUUGCUUUUCCUAAACAGCCUCCUAUGUUUUCUGCACAUUCCAACUUCAAUGGAAAUGAACUCGCUGAAGUCGGAACAACGACUUCUCAACUCGAGAGAUUUGACCUUCUGAGGUGAAGAACUGUGCGAUGGACGAAGCAUCUCCACUUCCUCCCACUGUCGAAAAAUGACGCCAAAAUAUCCCAGAUACCGACGUUGCCAUCGCCAGAGUCUGUGCACUGUGUGCAGUAGCAAUCAGGGGAAUGGAGCAGCAGAAGCAAGGUCCCGUCUGCAAGUCGUUGACUGCUGAUUGGCAGUUUGAUGGAGUGUAAUACAUCAGCGUGAUGACAUGAGAUCUGACCGUGCCCACAUUUGAUGCCUCACUCUUGAUCCGUGCGAGGGGGAAACAACAACCACGUUCCGAGACCAGGCACCUGGGCCAACACAUAAACAAGAUAAACAACGUCUCCAGGGGUAACUGAGAGGAGCAGAGGAGGCAGGCAAGUGCUGCGCUUGUUCUCUGAUCGAUGCCAUACAUAGUGUAUGAGUUCCCUCAGAGCUAUGGGUAGAAGUUGUUCACUUCUAUACGAGAAAGUUCAGAGAGAAGCAGUAUUGAGAUGAAGUUGAAUAAAGGUAAAAUAUAG
Molecule: long non-coding RNA, 697 nt
Organism: Hippoglossus stenolepis (Pacific halibut)
Lineage: Eukaryota; Metazoa; Chordata; Actinopteri; Pleuronectiformes; Pleuronectidae
Exons: 3
Source: RefSeq, a predicted model, not a curated record